CAGGCCUAACACAUGCAAGUCAAACGCCCCGCAAGGGGAGUGGCAGACGGGUGAGUAACACGUGGGAACGUACCCUUUGGUUCGGAACAACCCUGGGAAACUAGGGCUAAUACCGGAUACGCGCGAGAGCGGAAAGGUUUACCGCCGAAGGAUCGGCCCGCGUCUGAUUAGCUAGUUGGUGAGGUAACGGCUCACCAAGGCGACGAUCAGUAGCUGGUCUGAGAGGAUGAUCAGCCACAUUGGGACUGAGACACGGCCCAAACUCCUACGGGAGGCAGCAGUGGGGAAUAUUGGACAAUGGGCGCAAGCCUGAUCCAGCCAUGCCGCGUGAGUGAUGACGGCCCUAGGGUUGUAAAGCUCUUUUACCUGGGAAGAUAAUGACGGUACCAGGAGAAUAAGCCCCGGCUAACUUCGUGCCAGCAGCCGCGGUAAU
This 433-nucleotide ribosomal RNA is filed under the name uncultured bacterium. RNAcentral's name for it is "bacterial SSU rRNA". It matches the Rfam family "Bacterial small subunit ribosomal RNA", at positions 43 to 524 of the family's 1533-position model. The record is from RNAcentral.